Molecule: ribosomal RNA, 234 nt
Filed under: Enterococcus faecalis
Lineage: Bacteria; Bacillati; Bacillota; Bacilli; Lactobacillales; Enterococcaceae
Description: partial 16S ribosomal RNA
Rfam family: Bacterial small subunit ribosomal RNA
Source: RNAcentral
AACUCGCCUGCAUGAAGCCGGAAUCGCUAGUAAUCGCGGAUCAGCACGCCGCGGUGAAUACGUUCCCGGGCCUUGUACACACCGCCCGUCACACCACGAGAGUUUGUAACACCCGAAGUCGGUGAGGCAACCUUUUUGGAGCCAGCCGCCUAAGGUGGGAUAGAUGAUUGGGGUGAAGUCGUAACAAGGUAGCCGUAUCGGAAGGUGCGGCUGGAUCACCUCCUUUCUAAGGAA